AACGAACGCUGGCGGCAUGCCUAACACAUGCAAGUCGAACGAUUGCCUUCGGGUGAUAGUGGCGCGCGGGUGCGUAACGCGUGGGAAUCUGCCCUUAGGUUCGGAAUAACAGCUGGAAACGGCUGCUAAUACCGGAUGAUAUCGCGAGAUCAAAGAUUUAUCGCCUGAGGAUGAGCCCGCGUUGGAUUAGGUAGUUGGUGGGGUAAAGGCCUACCAAGCCGACGAUCCAUAGCUGGUCUGAGAGGAUGAUCAGCCACACUGGGAUUGAGACACGGCCCAGACUCCUACGGGAGGCAGCAGUGGGGAAUAUUGGACAAUGGGCGCAAGCCUGAUCCAGCAAUGCCGCGUGAGUGAUGAAGGCCCUAGGGUUGUAAAGCUCUUUUACCCGGGAAGAUAAUGACUGUACCGGGAGAAUAAGCCCCGGCUAACUCCGUG
Molecule: ribosomal RNA, 435 nt
Filed under: uncultured bacterium
Lineage: Bacteria
Description: partial 16S ribosomal RNA
Rfam family: Bacterial small subunit ribosomal RNA
Source: RNAcentral